GGUUAUCCAAGAGAGCAACAACCAGCAAGCAAGGGAACAGCAACCAAGCAGUGAUCCUGAACAAAGAGAAAUCCAUCUGAACUAAUAGAAAUCCAUGCAAACAUAAAAUCCAUCUGAAGAUGCUAAUCCAUCUAAACAUAGAUAUAGUAAUCCAUCUGAACAUAGAAAUCCAACUGACUAAGGGUAUGCAUCUGAACAUAGAAAUCCAUUUGAACAUAUUAUCAUGCCUCC
RNAcentral lists this long non-coding RNA (231 nucleotides) under Elaeis guineensis (African oil palm). RNAcentral describes it as "long non-coding RNA (EGUI_LNC035592)". Lineage: Eukaryota; Viridiplantae; Streptophyta; Magnoliopsida; Arecales; Arecaceae. The record is from RNAcentral.